GAUGAACGCUGGCGGCGUGCCUAAUACAUGCAAGUCGAGCGAACAGAUGAGGAGCUUGCUCCUCUGACGUUAGCGGCGGACGGGUGAGUAACACGUGGAUAACCUACCUAUAAGACUGGGAUAACUUCGGGAAACCGGAGCUAAUACCGGAUAAUAUAUUGAACCGCAUGGUUCAAUAGUGAAAGACGGUUUUGCUGUCACUUAUAGAUGGAUCCGCGCCGCAUUAGCUAGUUGGUAAGGUAACGGCUUACAAAGGCAACGAGGCGUAGCCGACCUGAGAGGGUGUUCGGCCACACUGAACCUGAGAAACGUUCCAGACUCCAACGGGAGGCAGCAGUGGGAAAUCUUCCGCAAUGGGCGAAAGCCUGACGGAGCAACGCCGCGUGGGUGAUGAAGUUCUUCGGAUCGUAAACCUCUGUUAUUAGGGAAGAACAAAUGUGUAAGUAAUUAUGCACGUCUUGACGGUACCUAAUCAGAAAGCCCCGGCUACUACGUG
RNAcentral lists this ribosomal RNA (496 nucleotides) under uncultured bacterium. RNAcentral describes it as "partial 16S ribosomal RNA". It matches the Rfam family "Bacterial small subunit ribosomal RNA", at positions 28 to 507 of the family's 1533-position model. The record is from RNAcentral.